RNAcentral lists this transfer RNA (83 nucleotides) under Mycolicibacterium moriokaense. Its description in RNAcentral is "tRNA-Leu". It matches the Rfam family "tRNA". From Rfam's summary of the family: Transfer RNA (tRNA) molecules are approximately 80 nucleotides in length. Their secondary structure includes four short double-helical elements and three loops (D, anti-codon, and T loops). Lineage: Bacteria; Bacillati; Actinomycetota; Actinomycetes; Mycobacteriales; Mycobacteriaceae. The record is from RNAcentral.
GCCCGAGUGGCGGAAUGGCAGACGCACCGGACUCAAAAUCCGGCGAUGGCAACAUCGUGUGGGUUCGACUCCCACCUCGGGCA